UUUCAUGUAAACAAUUCUUAUAUAAAUUCUGCUCUCCACCCAACACAAAACACUCACAUCCUGCGGCCUUUCCUAAAUUACCCUUGCUUUAGUUAACUCACGCCGCGUGAGUUAACUACCACACCUUUUAAAUUUUGUUCUGCUUAAAACAUAAACUUGCACACUUUCUUGAACAACUUUCCUUGUUGAUCUAACCACCACUUUCUUAGCACUCUUUGGAGCCAUUCACUGUCCCUUUUAACUCACCUGACAAGUCCACAAACGGAAGGAAAUAAAUAAUUUGACAACAAUUAAUGUAGUAUUUAACUUUUAUAAACAAAACCAACCCAAGAGCUGAUGAAUCAAGUAUAUACGUGGGCUAUAAUGAUGCUUGUUGUUUUAAAUGCGUGGAAUACCAUUUUAUGAUGUUUUUGCAUGGAAUACUAUUUUUACUGGGCGUGAGUUAACUCACGCAGUGUUUUACACUUGCGUGUCUUAAGUCAUGCCGCUUCACGUAACUAACGCACAAAUUUACACUUACGCUAGUUACCUAACACAAGGGUAAUUUGGGCAAGGCUGCAGGGCACAAGUGUUUUGUGCUACGUGGAGAGCAGAAUUCUUAUUCUUAUUAUAUACAAGCAGCGUGAAAUAUAAGUUAGUUGUUGCGCAUUGUCCCAGCAGUACAAAUGUUUCUUUUUAUUCCCAUGUCCCU
RNAcentral lists this long non-coding RNA (691 nucleotides) under Medicago truncatula (barrel medic). RNAcentral describes it as "long non-coding RNA (MTRU_LNC005791)". The record is from RNAcentral. Lineage: Eukaryota; Viridiplantae; Streptophyta; Magnoliopsida; Fabales; Fabaceae.